Molecule: long non-coding RNA, 2698 nt
Filed under: Volvox carteri
Lineage: Eukaryota; Viridiplantae; Chlorophyta; Chlorophyceae; Chlamydomonadales; Volvocaceae
Description: long non-coding RNA (VCAR_LNC000344)
Source: RNAcentral
GGGAACAGAUAGAAAGGGAGUAUUACACCCUUAACACAACAAUAGGAAUCACCACUACCCGGCUUGAAGCUCUGGCUCGCACAAGGGCUAUCCGGGUGUGAGUAGGACCCCUGGGAUAUGCCAUAUUGCGCUAGCGGCGCUAUCCGCUACAGAAAUCGGCGCGUGCGGCGUCCGAGCAGCAAACCGGCGACAGGGAUAGAUGGGAUCGAUAACGAUGGCGGGACAGCAGCAGCCAUCACCCCGGCGUUCGGUCGCAGUGCUGGAGACCCCAUCCUGGCAGUCGUGCAGGAGCGAGUGUAGUCUGCAGCACCGGUGGAAAUCACGGCCUAAAUAGCCGUCCCAGAGUCGGGUCAGGGGCUUUUAUGUAGGGAGGAUGAGGGAGAGGGCGAGAGAGCCAGGAGUAAGCAUAGGUGGGAAGGGCGAUUGAGGAGAGCAGGGAGGCUCUGGGCAGGUGGAGGGCUGGGCGAGAUGGUAGUGUCCUGGCCUAGGGUUGCGUGGUCUAGCAAGGGGAGUUGUGGAGCUGGGCUAUGUGCAUUCGCGUGCUCGUGUGUAUGCCCUUGGGGCCCGUCCAAGAGAGGGGAAUAGGUUCUGUGCUGUCUGGCAUCAGAGUAGAGACGGCGAAGGUGGCUUGUGAGAGUGGAGAGGAGGUGCGAAAGCGAUGGCGGAGAGUGGCUUGAAGGUGGAGAUUAGGUGAUGCUGGUCCCGGCCGGCCAGGGUUAGGAGGGGAUCAGGCGGGAUCAGGCUAAAGGGGGUGCCUCGUUCCCUUUCACUAUAGAUGCAGCCUUGCGUGUACAGCGAAAAUGUUGGUUGGGCUUGUGUCGGAGCCCCCAACUUCGGGCUUACAGGGUGUUUCCACUUGGCCGAACACUAACACUAUGUUCGAAUGUUCUUCGUCCUGGACUCGUCUCUCACCGUCCUAAAAGCGUAUAUUGAUAUAACUAAUGAUAGAAACAAAUAUUCAUCAAACAAAUUGGAGGUUGGGGCACUCCUGGCGGAGAACCGUAAGGCCUAGUGGAAACACCCCGUACACUAAGCCCGCACUAGCGCGUCACAAAGUUAAUGGGACCUCAGACCUGUCAUUAACUUGCAAACCUAGCACUAACUAUAUGGCGGGCAACUUUUAGGAGCUGGUUUGUGCCUUCUGACCACAGACCUUUGAUCUGGGCAGCUAUCUUUUUUCCUUCCUGCAAACGCCGCGUUGACUUGCGCACGCCCAACACCGACAGCCUCAGAAGGCUGUAGCCCGUGAGGGCUGCCAGGAAAAGCCUACGAUCCAUAUUUUCCUUGCAGACCUUGACAAUUAGCAGCAAUUAAUACCUGGCGCUAAAACAUUCAAAAUACGAAAACCAUUUUGGUUUCGGCGUUCCUUAGUGCAGCUAGUGAAACACCAUCACACUAAACGAUAUCGCGUCCGUGAAUGCAUCUGCGACAAGGCACCAACAAGUGUCGACCCUCGUACACGGGUUGUCGCCUGGGUAUCUAAAACAUCUACUUGCCCAGAAACCAAAUCCAGCAUCAAAUACGUGAUGGCUAAAUCUUUCGAAGUUUGCCAACUAGUCACGCUAAGUUGUCAGCAGCCACAGAAGACAACUACCGUACUGCCACGAUAUUUUUGUGACACGCUUUUGGGGAAGGCUCGAAAAUCAUAGCCGGAAUUAUGCUAAUGAUUUGCAUUUUUGGUGACGAGUCCCGGACAUAAUUGCAGUUGUGACACCCAGUUUGGCGACGCUCCAGGGAGGCCCCGAGCAGAAACCGCAGCAUUAUUACUGUGUUCAUUCGUUCGUUGCUCUGAGAGGAAACAUACACGUAGAUGAAGCGCAAGGUAAUCAAUCUGUCAACCAAACAAAACAGGUUAGGCACCACAGAGCUGGCCCCCUUGCAAAACCCCCAAGUCCCCUCUGCCGCAAAUCCCGAAACCUCCCUUCAAGCAAAACUGUUAUGACGCCCUCAGGCCGUCAGUCUUGAAAUAACGUAUGGAACCGUUGACCCGCGGUCCCCUGCACCUACCAUAAUUUACUUAAUGAGUGAGGAUGUGUGGAAAGCGACCAAUAUACAGGCGUGAACGUCUCAGCGAUAACGGGCAGGCUUGCUAAUCUGCCGUUUGUUGGCAGCACGGGCCUCCGCCAACUGCACUACCGCCUCCUCUUCCACCUCCGACUCCUCCGACUCCCCCUCGCUGCUCUCGCCCGGUUGCGGCCUAGCCUGGGCAGUAGAGCUGUGAGUAACACUUGCUUCGGCUUCUUGGACGCCAUUGGAGCGAGCUCAUGGAAAAUCUGUCAGAAAGCCUUUUUUUGAGUGGAAAACUAUAUAUAUAACUUAUUACUGAGUUAGAUUGAGAAUUCGGACCUGUUCUGGCCGGUAUCCUGCAUGUUUAAACGCGGUGUACGGUGUAUUGGUGACACUUAUUUUGGCGACGGGCAAAAAAAUCUGCCAAUAGAGCUUUCUCCACAGACACGCAUUUGGUGACGCCAUACCAAUUGCGUGUCACAAAAAUAUCGUGGCAAUACGGUAUCUCGGUAGUGUCCACCAACGUUUAUCUACCUACUAAACAACAACAGUCAAGAUUAAAAAGUUGGACCGAAAACGUUCGCAGACUCUGGUUGACAUUAUGUGGCCUCCAAGCACUGUCAGCUAGGAUGAAUUGACAAAAUAUCGAAGUCGUGUUCGCACAUAGGUGUUGUCGUGGCGUGCGCGAAGG